CGCCAGACUCCUACGGGAGGCAGCAGUGGGGAAUAUUGCACAAUGGGGGAAACCCUGAUGCAGCGACGCCGCGUGAGUGAAGAAGUAAUUCGUUACGUAAAGCUCUAUCAGCAGGGAAGAAAAUGACGGUACCUGAUUAAGAAGCCCCGGCUAACUACGUGCCAGCAGCCGCGGUAAUACGUAGGGGGCAAGCGUUAUCCGGAUUUACUGGGUGUAAAGGGAGCGUAGACGGCAGCGCAAGUCUGAAGGGAAAUCGCGGGGCCAACCCCCCGCCCCGCCGUUGAAACUGGCAGUCUCGAGUUGGAGAGAAGUAUGCGGAAUGCGCGGUGUAGCGGUGAAAUGCAUAGAUAUCGCGCAGAACUCCGAUUGCGAAGGCAGCAUGCCGGCUCCACACUGACGCUGAGGCACGAAAGCGUGGGUAUCGAACAGGAUUAGAUACCCCGGUA
Molecule: ribosomal RNA, 446 nt
Filed under: uncultured bacterium
Lineage: Bacteria
Description: bacterial SSU rRNA
Rfam family: Bacterial small subunit ribosomal RNA
Source: RNAcentral